GUAUUUAUUCUUUGUAAUUUCGCAAGAGAUUACCAAGAGAUUUGAGAUUUCUCGUCAACGAGUAUCUUUAAAGCUAUAGCCUCUUUUGUGGUAAAACAACUCUGCAGAACAGUAUUUGAAUGGAACCUUGGUUUCUUUAAUGCCUAAUAUGCAGACUUACCUAUUGAAAAGGGGUCCAUAACCUUGAGGUGAUGCUUAGCAUUGCUUGAA
This 210-nucleotide unclassified non-coding RNA is filed under the name uncultured fungus. RNAcentral describes it as "sequence contains ITS2". Lineage: Eukaryota; Fungi. The record is from RNAcentral.